Ictalurus punctatus (channel catfish) is the source of this 74-nucleotide non-coding RNA. NCBI's taxonomy places the organism in Eukaryota, Metazoa, Chordata, Actinopteri, Siluriformes, Ictaluridae. The record is from the annotation of a RefSeq genome assembly.
GGCCAGUUAGCUCAGUUGGUUAGAGUGUGGUGCUAAUAACACCAAGGUCAUGGGUUCAAGCUCCAUACUGGCCA